UGUUCUGAGCCCAAAGUCUCGGGGACGCAAAGGAGCCGGCCAACCGAGCCUCUUCCACCCUGGGCCGUGGGGUGGGGGCAGUAGCCCAGUACCCGGAAAUAACGCAUGCCACUUCCCCUGCCAUCUCUAGUUCCAAAGCCCAGGCGAAAGAGACGAGCGUGGAGAAACACGGAGAGGGCAGGGCGAGAGCGCAAGCGAGGCAAAUGACGUGACAGGGACAAUCUGGAGAGAAACGUGUCCCCCCACCCCCCCAAAGUGCUGGAGGCCACGGUAGCAGCGAACAGAUGAGGGCUGGAGCGAGAGAAAUCAAACUCCACGUUUCUCUAGAGCCGGCUUUCAGCGGCUCGAACCUCGCCUGGCGCAAGGUCGCAGGUGCUGUGCGGGAAUUUUGACCUUCCAGCAGGAGGAAUUCAGUUCUGCAGGGGAACAGUCAGCUUCUCCCCCUCUCCCUAUUUCGGAAGUCCAUGAUGUCGCCG
This is a non-coding RNA of Myodes glareolus (Bank vole), 476 nucleotides long. NCBI's taxonomy places the organism in Eukaryota, Metazoa, Chordata, Mammalia, Rodentia, Cricetidae. The record is from RefSeq and is a predicted model, not a curated record.